UACCCAUAUCACAGGUCACUGCAAAUUCGUAAGAAGACGUAUAGUGGCUGACGCCUGCCCGGUGUUGUAAGGUUAACUUUUAAUGUUUUAGCUUUGAAUUUAAGCCACAAUAAACGGCGGCUGUAACUCUGACGGUCUAAAGGUAGCGAAAUUCUUUGUCACCUAAUUAGUGACCUGCAUGAAUGGCGUAACGACUUUUUUACUGUCUCUUGCGCAAGCUUAGUGAAAUUGAAAUAACUGUGAAGAUACGGUUUUUUAAUAGCAAGACGAAAAGACCCUGGCACCUUUACUGCAGGUAUCUAUUGUAACUGUGUAUUUUUUGUAUAGAAUAAGUGGUAGUUUUUUAGGCUAAAACAUCUGUGAAAUACCACUCUUAAACUAUAUUUUUACUAACUUAAACUGGAGAGAACAGUGGGUAUUGGGUAGUUUGGCUGGGGCGGUCACCUUCCAAAUUGUAACGAAGGUGUGCAAAAGGCAAAUUCAAAGAUGCUUUUUUUUUGAUGAGUGCAAUAGCAAAAAUUUGCUUGACUGUAAGAAAUACAAUUCAAGCAGGGAUUUACGUCGGUUAUAGUGAUCUGAUGUUUUUUUAUGGAGAAAGCAUCACUUUUCGGAAAAAAGGUACGCCAGGGAUAACAGGCUAAUGAUUUUUUAGAGUUCUUAUCGACAAAAUUGUUUGGCACCUCGAUGUCGGCUUUUCACAUCCUGGAGCUGUAGUUGGUUCCAAGGGUUUGGUUGUUCGCCAAUUAAAGUGAAACAUGAGCUGGGUUCAGAACGCCGUGAGGCAGUUUGGUUUCUAUCUACUAAUAUUUGAAGAAAAUUUGAAAAAAUAAACCUUAGUACGAGAGGACUGGGAAAAGUAAACCUCUUGUUUAACGGCUGUUCUUUUGUAGAGCAUUGUCGUAUAGCUACGUUUAUAUUAGAUAAUCACUGAACGCAUUUAAGUGAGAAAUUAUUUUUAAGGCCUGUUUUCUAUUAAAAGAGUCGUGAACACCGAUCACGUAAUUAGGUACUGCGU
This 1015-nucleotide ribosomal RNA is filed under the name uncultured eukaryote. RNAcentral's name for it is "partial Bacterial large subunit ribosomal RNA". It matches the Rfam family "Bacterial large subunit ribosomal RNA", at positions 1805 to 2868 of the family's 2925-position model. The record is from RNAcentral.